UUUGACAAACUAUAAAAGGUCAAGCCUGCCCAGUGACAUUGUUCAACGGCCGCGGUAUCCUAACCGUGCGAAGGUAGCGUAAUCACUUGUUCUUUAAAUGAGGACUAGUAUGAACGGCUUCACGAAAGCUAUGCUGUCUCCUUUAUUUAAUCAGUUAAACUAAUCUCCCCGUGAAGAAGCGGGGAUACCCGUAUAAGACGAGAAGACCCUAUGGAGCUUUAAACACCUCUAGACAUUUGAACAUACACAAUUUUAAGCCUCACUAAAUUCAUCAUUUUGUCUUAAGUUUUAGGUUGGGGUGACCGCGGAGAAAAAACUAACCUCCACGUAGAAAGAAGCUUCCUCCUAAGCAAAAAACUACAUCUUUAUGCAUCAACACAUUGACCUUAAUUGACCCA
This 398-nucleotide ribosomal RNA is filed under the name Allobates sp. 'Santa Maria'. Its description in RNAcentral is "partial 12S ribosomal RNA". It matches the Rfam family "Bacterial large subunit ribosomal RNA", at positions 1834 to 2380 of the family's 2925-position model. Lineage: Eukaryota; Metazoa; Chordata; Amphibia; Anura; Aromobatidae. The record is from RNAcentral.